CUCAAGCACAUUAGAAACUCAGAAAAGGGCAGGUCUAAUGUGAGACAGGAUAAGCACAAAAGUCUUCAGCUGGCAAAGUACUAUGGCAGACGCUGUGAUUCUUCACUUCUUUCUGGAUUGAACUGCCCUAUUAUGUACACUUGCAGCAAUUCCCAGCAAGGAAUGGAAUCUGUUUCCCCACCUCUUGAGUCUGGACUGGUCCAAUGACCUGAUUUGACGAAAAGAAUGAAGUGGGAGUGACCAUGUGCCAGUUCUGAGCCUAGAUUUCAAGAAACCCACUCUGUUGGAAUCCUCUUGCUGCCAUGUGAGUAAGCCUGUGUAAGCCUGCUGGACAAUGAGAAACACAGAGCCUAGUUGCGGCAUUAACCCAGCCGACAGCCAGAAUAUCCUGCAGCUCACCAAAGAUGCUAAGGGAGUCCAGGAAUGUGAAGCUGCUAAGCAAAGAGGAGAUCUUCAAUAAAUGUUGCAUCAGAAGAAAUAUAAAAACCUGAGAACAAAAGUCUCUCAUCCAUUCGGGGGGUAUCCCCCAUCUUCUAUGCCUCUCAUCUAGAGGAAACACAGCCCACCUGCUUUCAAGCCAGGCACGUCCUUGGGCGUUCUGCUGGGGCUGCGUGUGAACUCAGUGCAGCAUUCCCAAUGACUACAUCUAAUCAGUUCAGCAGCUCGUGGAUUCUGCAGGAUUGAACCAUUUGCUGUGCAAGCCCAAAUGCCACUACAUAAAGACGUUAGACACAAAGCCCACAUGCAAUAAAUACAUAAGCUGAAGUAAACUGAUGUACACCGUUGGUUACACCUUUCCUAACAACCAAACUGACUAUUGCUUUCCAGCCUUUGGUGACAAGAUUGAAGAGCUUAUCAUAUUCAAGUUGAUUACAUCCUUGGAAAAAAUUGUUGUAGCCUUUGGAGUAGAAGACUGCACCAAUUUUAGGUCUAAUUCCUGGAAAUUUAUCAGUAGUCAUUAUGGAAUAACCAGGGUCCAUGAAUUGUCUUCUCUCUUCUCACCUCCAGUAAUGUCUAUCCACAAAGAGGUAGGUCUUGUAGCAGCAUGCAUUAAAAACAGCAGGAGCAAUCUUCUCACAGAGUCAGG
RNAcentral lists this long non-coding RNA (1087 nucleotides) under Equus caballus (horse). RNAcentral describes it as "lncRNA (ENSECAG00000047148.1)". Lineage: Eukaryota; Metazoa; Chordata; Mammalia; Perissodactyla; Equidae. The record is from RNAcentral.